This 804-nucleotide ribosomal RNA is filed under the name Tricharina striispora. Its description in RNAcentral is "LSU rRNA". It matches the Rfam family "Eukaryotic large subunit ribosomal RNA", at positions 77 to 896 of the family's 3401-position model. The record is from RNAcentral. Lineage: Eukaryota; Fungi; Ascomycota; Pezizomycetes; Pezizales; Pyronemataceae.
GCCUUAGUACUGCGAGUGAAGCGGCAAAAGCUCAAAUUUGAAAUCGGGGUCCUUUUCGGGCUUCGAGUUGUAAUUUGGAGGGAUAACUUCGGUACGGACUACAUCGUAAGUUCCUUGGAACAGGACGUCAUAGAGGGUGAGAAUCCCGUGUCUUGGUGUUUGGCCGUGCCAUGUGAAGUGUCUCCGACGAGUCGAGUUGUUUGGGAAUGCAGCUCAAAAUGGGUGGUAAAUUUCAUCUAAAGCUAAAUAUUGGCGAGAGACCGAUAGCGCACAAGUAGAGUGAUCGAAAGAUGAAAAGCACUUUGAAAAGAGAGUUAAAAAGUACGUGAAAUUGUUGAAAGGGAAGCGCUUGCGACCAGACUCGAUCUUUGGUGAUCAGCCGGGCUUCUGUCCGGUGCCCUUACCAUUGAUUGGGCCAGCAUCGGUUCUGGCGGUGGGAUAAAAGGAGGAGGAAUGUGGCUCCCUUCGGGGAGUGUUAUAGCCUCCUUCACAAUGCCACCAGUUGGGACCGAGGACCGCGCUUCGGCUAGGAUGCUGGCGUAAUGGUCUUAAGCGACCCGUCUUGAAACACGGACCAAGGAGUCUAACAUCUAUGCGAGUGUUCGGGUGGAAAACCCUUGCGCGUAAUGAAAGUGAACGGAGGUGUGAACCCUUUACCGGGUGCAACAUCGACCGGUCCUGAUGUCUUCGGAAGGAUCUGAGUAAGAGCAUAGCUGUUGGGACCCGAAAGAUGGUGAACUAUGCCUGAAUAGGGUGAAGCCAGAGGAAACUCUGGUGGAGGCUCGCAGCGGUUCUGACGUGCAA